AACCUCCGCAAUGUGAGAAAUCGCGACGGGGGGAUCCCAAGUGCCAUUCUUAACGGGAUGGCUUUUCAUUAGUGUAAAGAGCUUUUGGAAUAAGAGCUGGGCAAGACCGGUGCCAGCCGCCGCGGUAACACCGGCAGCUCUAGUGGUAACAAUUUUUAUUGGGCCUAAAGCGUCCGUAGCCGGUUUAAUAAGUCUCUGGUGAAAUCCUGUAGCUUAACUGUGGGAAUUGCUGGAGAUACUAUUAGACUUGAGACCGGGAGAGGUUAGAGGUACUCCCAGGGUAGAGGUGAAAUUCUGUAAUCCUGGGAGGACCGCCUGUUGCGAAGGCGUCUAACUGGAACGGUUCUGACGGUGAGGGACGAAAGUUAGGGGCGCGAACCGGAUUAGAUACCCGGGUAGUCCUAACUGUAAACGGUGCGGACUUGGUGUUGGGGUGGCUUUGAGCUGCUCCAGUGCCGAAGGGAAGCUGUUAAGUCCGCCGCCUGGGAAGUACGGUCGCAAGACUGAAACUUAAAGGAAGU
This 521-nucleotide ribosomal RNA is filed under the name uncultured bacterium. RNAcentral describes it as "bacterial SSU rRNA". It matches the Rfam family "Archaeal small subunit ribosomal RNA", at positions 345 to 866 of the family's 1478-position model. The record is from RNAcentral.